Molecule: unclassified non-coding RNA, 6810 nt
Filed under: Aplysia californica (California sea hare)
Lineage: Eukaryota; Metazoa; Mollusca; Gastropoda; Aplysiida; Aplysiidae
Description: cysteine-rich and transmembrane domain-containing protein 1, transcript variant X6
Source: RNAcentral
GGUGGUUUGGUCACGUGAUAAUUAUAAACAACUCUCUCAUACUCAUCUUGCUGUGGCAAGUGUCUGUUGGCUUUGCUCUAGUGUUUUGUAGUGUGGUGUAUUGGAUAUACAGUGCUCAGGUUCGAACAUUUCAUUUUUCAGCCUAUAGUAGGCCUUUUGUGUAGUAGAAGAGUAGACUCAGGUCCAAGUGACAGUCAUUGAUAGAGCCCAGGACACGCCUUACUUUUGCCUUUGAUAAAAUGAGUGUACACCCUACCCCAGGAGCCCCACCACCCCCUUACCCAGGGGACAGCGCCUACCCCCCAGCUCCACCGGCUGGCUACUAUGGCGGCCCACCACCCCAAGCCUACGGUGGGCCAGCACAGCCGGGGUACGGCCCCCCACCGCCCCCAGCUGGGUACGGGCCACCACCACCCCAAGGCUACGGACCACCCCCACCCCAGGGGUACGGGCCUCCCCCACCUCAAGGAUACGGCUAUGGGUACGGUCAGGGUCAGGCAGCCCCGUACCCUCAGCAACCGUACCCUCAGCAACCUUAUCAGGGAGGACCGUACCAGCAGCAACCGGCACAACAAGUAGUGUAUGUGGAUGACAGGCGUAAGAACAAUGACCGGGACAAUUCGGCAGAAACCUGUUGCAUCAUCGGCCUGUGCAGUGCCCUGCUCUGUUGCUGUCUUAUGGACUGAUCUAUCUAAGAUGAGGCCUGAUCUGACCGACAUUCCACAGUGCACUUUAAAAAUAUAUACAUCUAAAUUAUACUUUCUUUUUCUUUUUAGUGUCUAUACUAUUCUGACAAAAUUAUUUUUCUUUAUGCGUAUAUAAUAUAUAUAUAUAUAUAAUAUAUAUAUUUCUAACAUAUCUUUUCUCUUAGAAUCAAAGUAGUAUUUGAUAAACUUACCUUUUCUUGUAUAAUGUUGACAGUUAUGAAGAGCAUUUUAUUUUUGUCUUGUUUGUUAACUUAGCUAUGCUUUGAAAUCGCCAUCCUUAUUUGAUUAUUCACAAGUCUGUAUGAAGCAAUAGCAAACUUGCGUCUGAUCACAUAAAAGAUGAUUUCACCACAGCAUUUAAGAAUGAAUUUACAAAGGUAUGUCAAAAUAGUGCAUGUUGAUUUAAAAUAAUGGCAAAAAUCUUUGAUUUGGGAACUGAUUAAUCACAGGUGUGCUAGAAUGGCAGUCUCCAGCAUUGAAAUGUAUUAUCUGAUUUUUGUCAUCUUUGUCAACCUAUUAUUUGUUUCUGUACUUUUACUGAGAAAAUUGUAUGUCCUCCUUGCAUUAUGUGUCAUUUGAAAAUAUUUUUAAAAUUUGUUCUUGUCAAAUGAGGCCUAGACGUAACACAAAUUGGGAGCAUGGGGAUGUCAAAUUUCAGUUAGAUAUUAAAUUUACUUACCUUUGAAAAAUAUUGAAUAUGAUCUUUUCUCUCUUAACGCAUACUCUGCAAAAUUGGGCGGCAGCUCAUCUUGUGACUUUUCUUUCCCUCUGUGUUUUUUUGGUGUGUUUGUUUUACUUUGCACUAAAUGGCCUUAAUUGUGUCAAUGUGCUUGUCUUUACUCAAGGAAUAUUGGGGUCUUCCCUGAAAUGUUUCCCCAGCUGCUAAUUUCCUGUUUCUUUUCAGCUCUAGUGACUUGAGCUCUUGUUCCAAUUUUGUAAAAGAUUUCUUUUUGUGUUCAGGAUGUGAACUUAAUUCACUGCAAGGAUCUAAUUACAAGAAUAAUUUGGGAUGUUAUCUACUAGAAACAUGUAAGAUAUUCACUUUUUAUCUCACUUGUAGUCACAGCACAUUGAGCUGCAUUUUUCAUGAAAGAUACAAUAAAAGCUGUGGAAAUCCAAGAUGAAAAAGUAAUUGAUGGGUUGUUACUAUACUGGCAAGUUUUCCGUCACUAAUUCUUCAUCUUUGUUAGUUUUUAUAAGAUAUCUGUACUGUCACUGCAGAGAAAAUGGUUGCGCAGAUUUUCUAUCAUUGUACACUCAGUUUCUCUUGUCACACCUUCACCUUUCUUACUGCAAAUGUUAGCUCAUUAAAUGUUGAGCACAAUGCCAUAGUUUCUCUUGGCCAAAAUAUUUAUUCCCUUAUCCAGUUUAAGGAUGGCAGGAAUAACUAUAAAGCAAUUACUUUCCUUUGAAAUUUUCUUUAAAUUGAAAACUUGUCUGUGACUUGUUUACUUGGACUAAGACUUGACAAUAUGAAAUAUCUAUUGAAGGUGCUUUACAGACUGUAUUGUUUUGUCCUGUUGUUUCUUGGAAAAUCUGCUGCAGUUACAUGUGUGACAAAAUAUAACAGACCACCAUAAUCAAUAAUUGGAUACUUUACAAACAAUUGAAGUUUCAGUCCAUCUUUUCAAUGCUCAAGAGAAUAAAUAAUUGGUCUAGUAGCUUGUUUGUCGCCCUUGCUUAUCUUUGUUUAUGGUUAACUUGAAGUCUUAUCUCAAGUGGAGGAAGAAAUGAGAACCUAAACUUUGUUCAAAUUCUCGCAUAAAAGUCUUAGCUAUUUCAGGCACCUUAAUUUUACUGGAUUAUCUUCAAUUCAUGUCUGUCAUUGAGAAAUUUAUAUUGAUAAUGGUACAGAUCCUGUAAACUUUAAAUCAGAAUCUGACAUAUUAAAAUAUUUAUACUGGAUACCCCUAGAUUGGCUGUGGGUAUGUACCUGUGUGUAUGAGCUCAUGUAUAAAUGUAUGCAUCAAUGGGUUUGUGUUUUUAGGGGAGGAGAGAGGUUCACAGGUAAUGUACUGAUUAAAAAAGACUGAAUUUUGACUGUUGGGAAUGUCAGUGAGUUGGUUGCUUUAUUGCACCUUUUUGAAUGUAUUUUCUGAGGAUGAAACUGUCAUGCAUGUUAUUUUAUUUCAAUUUAUAUUGCUGAUUUGGUGCACAUAUUUAUGUAUAUAUUUUAUCAGUAUAUAUGUAUGUUUUCCGUAUGUUUAUGCCCAUAAAUAUCGACAUGCUUGCAAUUGCAAGGGGGGAAGGGCAUUGAUCUGCAAAUACGCAGGCAUUUAUCAGAUGUUUCAUUUAUGUCACAAAAACAAUUUAUUGGAUUUUUGGUACAGUAUCAAGCAGAGGGUAUAGUUUUAAGAGUCAGAGCAAUUGUAAAAAAACAAAAAAAGACCCCUAACAUACAAAAAACAAAAUUUUUACUGAUCUUUCAUUUUCAGUACCAGGGAAUAGAAUAUUUUUCAAUGGGUGAAAGAGUUCAGGGCUUGUUUGUUUUUGUUUUUGAUCGAAGACCAUGUGGACUUUACAUUUGAGAUUUUUAUGCAAGAAAAGGAAAACAAUGAUUCCACCUGAUUCAUGUUGAUAUAUGUGUAUAGAUUUGUUAUUGAAUCAAAGAUCUGGUUAAACUCACCGUCAUGCAGAUUUUCAUUAGAUUUUAAAAAAAACUCUUUACUUUCUUUUCAAACUUUUUUCCUUCAAACUAUAUUUUAUGAUAGAAAUGACUGGAAAAAGUCUAUGGUUGUAAUGAUAACUACGAAUAAAUAUAACAUCUAGUUUACUCUUUAUGUCUGGAAAGUGUUUUCCCUAUUAUGCCAGAGCCCUCUUUUAAUGCGAAACAUGAGAGUGACAUGCACAUCACUAAACCGCCAUUAAAUCAAAACAAAUGAACCUAUUUUGAUAGUUGUUCAUCACAAUAAUGUCAGUGACGUAAUGAAUUAAAAGAAUGGGACGGAGCUGCUGACAGUGGAUCACCCAAACAGCAGUUCCCUCUGCAAGCCGCUUGGAGUUUCUUGCUGGGGAUAAAGAGUUACAUCAGUAGUUUAGCCUUUACUAUGGGGGUAUGCAUUACAUUUUGCUCAAUGUAUACUUCUUCUACUGUGAUAUAUAUAAUUUAACCUCCUGAUAUGAUUUCAAACAGCUAAAUCUGUAUUGUACUUUGGUGGUAGAAUUGUGACUUUGGAAGAGGAGUAGUAAGUGAAGUAAGUACCUGAACUUGUUGCCUUAAUCAGAUUUAUUUUUAUCUGUCGUGAAAUUACUCUUUUGAUUAAUAUAUGUACAUAUAUAUCUCUUUUGUAUUGCCUCGCCAAUUUACUUUGUACCUCUGUACUUCUUUUUAUUUGUGAGAUCUGAUGAAGGUCCCAGACCUCCCUCACUGACACUGUUUUGUAUUUUUGCCCUGGAAGAGGCUAUCUGAUAUUGAAAUAUGCUGUUUACACAAGUCUUAAUAUUUCUUUCUUUAGUUGUUCUUUCUGUAUGCUUUUCAUUUACUCUCCUCAUUCUUUUUUGUGUUUGUUACUCUCUUAUAACACCUCUAAUCUUCAGCACUUAUAUGACCUUAUUGUGUUGCAAGUACCGUAAAACUCUUACUAAAACUAAAAAAACCAAAGCUUUUCAUUUAUAACAUUUUUUUCGAAACAAUAAACUCCUGGAAAUUGUAUAAUUUUAAGAUUUAUCAUCAUAAGCAUCAUUUCCUGCUUGGAAAAGUUCAAAAUUGGCACAUUUUGAAAAAUGUCUUUUUAAUGGAAAGUAUGAAUAAAAACUACCAGUAUUACAAAUAUCUUAAACAGGACUGCUUGAAAUUAAUCACACAUACCAUGUCAAUGGCAUCAUGAAAUGGGAUAGCUAAAAAGUUUGUUUUUUUAAUUGCUGUUAGUUGUUUUGAUUGUUUUCUCUGUUCUGUUUGAACUGUACGGGUGCUGGACUGAUCUGGUCAUGCUUACAUAAUGACCUGUUUGUGGUCUUUACUCUUUCUUAUAUUAUUGUUAAAAUAAAAUAUUUCCCCUGAUUUCAUUUUGUAACGACAUGUAUUAUUGAAUUAUUUCCAUAUAUUCGUAAGGCAAUGCUACAGCUUGAAGCAUUUGCAUAUGUUACUUUUUUAAAACAGUAAUAUAUGAUCUCUUUUUUUUUUUCAGUUUUGAAGGGAAAGUGCCUUGGCCAGUGUACCAAGGUUCAUGUUGUGCUUGGUUAGGGUUGUGGUACGGUACCUAUUUAUUUUUUUGCUUCACUCUGGUCUAGAUGGCUUUUUUUAUUCUCUUUUGUUAUGCCAGUGUCUGUACACUUAUAUCGCAAUUUUGUAGUAAUUAAGCAGAGAUGCCUGUACCCCUCUCAGGAUUUGUUUUAUUUUAUCUUGUAUGUCCGGCGCUUGUUAUCCAAGAGGUAAGGUGCAUGCCAACCUACCUUGUGUGUCUGGCUUAAUGUCACAUCCAUGCAAGUAUUGUUGAUCAAUAUUUUUGGGGGGGAGUUUCUUUGUAACUUACACCCCUACCCUAUGGUAGUGGACUUUGAGCUCCCAGUCUUCUCAUAUGUGUCGAAAAUCUCAACUGUUCAUGUCCAAAAUACUUUCUGUGUAUAAAGGUGGAAAAGAAAUGGUAGCUAUCCUAAAGUAAAGAAACUCUGCAUAGGAGAAAUGAUUGAGAGAAUUUUCGAAAAUCGCAUUUAGCUGCCUGAAGACACCGGGACACUGAACUAUUGUUGGAGAACGGACUGAAAAAGUCAGUGGCAUGCUUUCUGGAAAAAUGUACGAUACACUACUGGAAGCUCUGUGAAUUAACAAGGGUAAGCCGAGAAGGUAGACAGAUUCUAAAAGAGCAACAGUGAACGAAGAGCUUUCGGGAAAAUCUCUCUAAGUACUUGUAAUAAUAUGGUAUUGUUUCAGAGUAUUAUCUAAAUCAGCUUUUGCAGAGCUCUUAGAGUGCCGUUUCCAGCUGUGCUAAAAGAUUGCUUCAGUGUUUAAUUGUAUUUGAACUGUAUUCCCUUCAAACGCAUUCUCCAUAGAUGCCAUAUUAUUAGAAGUAAAUAUCCUAACGACAUUUUUCUGAAAACUUUUGCUGAAAUGGGAAAAAAAUGUAUUAAAAAAUAUCCAAACAAUAUUUUUCUAAUAGCUCAGCUGAAAUGGAAAAAUGUGUAACUUUAGACCUCUUGUGUGAUUUACUGGACCUCAUGUGUGAUUUACUGAUCCUGUGUGAGUGUAAAGAUGCGAGUGUGCCAUGAUUUUACGUUGAUUGUGGUUUGUCAGUUGCGAUACUGGUAAUGGUAGAUGAGAUAUUUAUGUCUCCAAAGUUUGCAAUAAAUAAGCUUAAAAUAAUUGUUUGUGCAUGUAGAACAAUCUUAUAACAUUUGUUCCUGCAUGUAGAAUUGAACAACAGACACGAACAUGUUGGCUAAAUUGCUAGUAGUAUAUGUAUGGGUUGAUGUCAGCCUAUGAAAAGUCUGUUUCAUGUGCAAGAAUAACACCUAUUAUAGAUGACUAAUAAUAAUUUAAUAAAUUAUAGUUGCUAUCACUUUUGCUGAAUUUACACGUUUCUUUUCCCUGUCUGUAUGAUGUGAUCUUUCUUAUUAGCAUUUCUUCAAAGGUGGAAUGUUAUAACUAAAUGGUUUUGUUUGUUGUGUUUGUUGAAAAAAUAUUUGUGAGGCAUCGUGGUGAAAUCAGGCGCUCGUCAGAAUAAUAAUAUCGAAGAAACUUUCACUUUUCCUCUUGUUUGGCAAUUUUUAUCGAAUGUUUGUUUUUUGGCUCCGCACCUUUUAUGUCCAUUUAAAAAGAUAUUUAUGUGUGGAAAUCACUGAAAACAUCGAUUGGAGGCACAAAAAAAUGUAAAUUUUCAGUUUCCAAGAACUCUCAAGAUAUGGAAGUGACUGAACUUUGCUGGCCAUUUUCUAGCUACAUGUAAUUUUAUUCUUAAAACCAGGGAACCCAUCUCCUUCAAGUGCAAGUAUCUUAACUUCUAUUUAAGUUAGAUAGAUAGGUAUUUUUUUCACCAAGUGCAAGACAAAUGAACAAGCUCUAAGAUGUUACCAAUAACUCCAUAAGCCCAAAAAUUGACGAGUGCCUGAUUCCACCACGUCACAUCACAUUUUAUAAUGCAAAUAAAAUAUGUUUCAGUUGGAAAAA